GAACGCUGGCGGCGUGCCUAACACAUGCAAGUCGAGCGGGGUUGAAGCGAGAGGUAACUCGAGCUUCUACCUAGCGGCGGACGGGUGAGUAACGCGUGGGCAACCUGCCUCAAGGUUUGGGAUAACAGCCCGAAAGGGCUGCUAAUACCGGAUAUGCCUAUGGCCUCGCAUGGGGCUAUGAGCAAAGGGGAAACCCGCCUUGAGAUGGGCCCGCGUCCCAUCAGCUAGUUGGUGAGGUAACAGCUCACCAAGGCGACGACGGGUAGCCGGCCUGAGAGGGUGACCGGCCACACUGGGACUGAGACACGGCCCAGACUCCUACGGGGGGCAGCAGUGGGGGAUCUUGCACAAUGGGCGAAAGCCUGAUGCAGCGACGCCGCGUGAGCGAAGAAGGCCUUCGGGUUGUAAAGCUCUGUCUGGAGGGACGAACAAAAUGACGGUACCUCCGGAGGAAGCCACGGCUAACUACGUG
This 472-nucleotide ribosomal RNA is filed under the name uncultured bacterium. Its description in RNAcentral is "bacterial SSU rRNA". It matches the Rfam family "Bacterial small subunit ribosomal RNA", at positions 31 to 507 of the family's 1533-position model. The record is from RNAcentral.